Molecule: unclassified non-coding RNA, 329 nt
Filed under: soil metagenome
Description: partial contains 5.8S ribosomal RNA, internal transcribed spacer 2, and large subunit ribosomal RNA
Rfam family: 5.8S ribosomal RNA (bases 1-120)
Source: RNAcentral
GAUGAAGAACGUAGCGAAAUGCGAUAAGUAAUGUGAAUUGCAGAAUUCAGUGAAUCAUCGAAUCUUUGAACGCACAUUGCGCCCCUUGGUAUUCCGAGGGGCAUGCCUGUUCGAGCGUCAUUAUAACCCCUCAAGCUCAGCUUGGUGUUGGGGCCUGCUGCACUGGCAGCCCUUAAAAUCAGUGGCGGCGCCAUCUGGCUCUAAGCGUAGUAAUUCUUCUCGCUAUGGAGUCCUGGUGGAUGCUUGCCAUCAACCCCCAAUUUUUCUAUGGUUGACCUCGGAUCAGGUAGGGAUACCCGCUGAACUUAAGCAUAUCAAUAAGCGGAUGA